GGGGACGUUACGGAUUCGACAGGCAUAGUUCGAGCUUGGAUUGCGCUCCGUAGGUUGCGUCUACGUAAAAACGCUCAGUUAAAAUAUAACUGCUAAAAACAAUAACAAUUCUUACGCUUUAGCUGCGUAAAAACAGCUAACGUAGAUCCUCUCGGCAUCGCCCAUGUGCUCGAGUAAGGGUCUCAAAUUUAGUGGGAUACGCAUUGACUUUCCGUCUGUAAGUCAAUGAAGAGACGAUCAGGCUAGCGAUAUAAACAGCUCGUCGCUCAGCGGUUUAUAAAGCGAACCUUUAAAUAGAGGCGACUAUGAGCGUAGAUAUUCAAGAGGCGAUAUGUCUGGACGCGGGUUCAACUCCCGCCGUCUCCA
Molecule: transfer-messenger RNA, 366 nt
Filed under: Tetragenococcus koreensis
Lineage: Bacteria; Bacillati; Bacillota; Bacilli; Lactobacillales; Enterococcaceae
Rfam family: transfer-messenger RNA
About the family: Bacterial tmRNA, also known as 10Sa RNA or SsrA, is named for its dual tRNA and mRNA-like properties.
Source: RNAcentral